Molecule: ribosomal RNA, 253 nt
Filed under: uncultured bacterium
Lineage: Bacteria
Description: partial 16S ribosomal RNA
Rfam family: Bacterial small subunit ribosomal RNA
Source: RNAcentral
UACGUAGGGGGCAAGCGUUGUCCGGAAUCAUUGGGCGUAAAGAGCGUGUAGGCGGUUCGAUAAGUCUGCUGUGAAAGUCCAGGGCUCAACCCUGGGAUGCCGGUGGAUACUGUCGGGCUAGAGUACGGAAGAGGCGAGUGGAAUUCCCGGUGUAGCGGUGAAAUGCGCAGAUAUCAGGAGGAACACCGAUUGCGAAGGCAGCUCGCUGGAACGUUACUGACGCUGAGACGCGAAAGCGUGGGGAGCAAACAGG